This 1040-nucleotide long non-coding RNA is filed under the name Lactuca sativa (garden lettuce). RNAcentral describes it as "long non-coding RNA (LSAT_LNC009200)". Lineage: Eukaryota; Viridiplantae; Streptophyta; Magnoliopsida; Asterales; Asteraceae. The record is from RNAcentral.
UCCCCUCUAGUCCUCUUAAAGGUCGUAAUUUUAGAAUACUACGAUGCCGAUUUCUAUCUAUUAGGCUACUUUACAUUUACAUCUGAUAUCACGAAAAUUAUGGAUACCGAUCACAAAAGGCACUGUUCUUUGAAAUCGUUGAUAUGAUUUUGUUUUGUUGCUAUAUUCAGGUCACCAGCAGAAGAGCAACCUAGAAGGCUCACCUGGGAUCUGAUCGGUUUAAGACAUUAGAACUCUGUACGUUUACACAAAGAAGCAAUAAAGAUCAAUCGUUGGCCAAUCAUAUUAAAGUUUCUUCUAAAUUUUAUCUUCAUUUCAUUCGUGAGCUUUCAUUAUUACAACAAAUUGGUAUCAGAUCUGGAUCGAUUGAUUUUUUGUAAGGAUCUUUGGCUGCGUUUUCUUAUGGAUCGAUUGAAUAGGGUGAAGAAUUUUUUGGGUGACAAUUCAAUAACGGUUUUCGAUAUAAAGAUCUUGGGUGUGCGAUUUCUCUGUGCAUUUUCGAUCUUUAAAAAGGUAUAAAGCCAAUCUCAUCUCACUUUGCUUCUUUGAAUUCUUUUAAUGUUUUUUUGGGUGUCGAACGAAAGUGGCGUCUCUUAAAACACUCUCCCUCUUUAAGUAUUGUCAACUAGGUACCAAUUAAAUUACCAAUUAUAACGACCAAAACAGGAAAUCAACCAAGAAUUCGCUUGAUAAAUAUUCAAACAUAAAAAAGAAUGUGGUAUUUAAGUGGCAGAAAUCUAGCCAAGUAUUGUCAACUUGGUACCAAUUAUAAGUAAGUGGUUAUUAAAAUGACAAAUGACCAUAUAUAACAUCGCUAUGGAAUGCAAAAAGCUAAGCGAAGAAUAGAAAUUAAGAGUCUUUUACCAUAAUGUUUGGAAUUAUGGCACUCAAGUUGUUUCCUUUUAAAAAAUUAGCAUACCAAUGUGCAGAUAGCUUAGGAUAUCGAGUCAACUCCUUGUCAGCCAUGUCAACAUAGUACAGACCAUAAGCAGAAGCAUAGCCUCCAAUCACCUCAUAGAGAUCGAGGAAAGACCAAACAA